This is a long non-coding RNA of Gordionus sp. m RMFG-2023, 364 nucleotides long. RefSeq lists it as uncharacterized. NCBI's taxonomy places the organism in Eukaryota, Metazoa, Nematomorpha, Gordioida, Chordodea, Parachordodidae. The record is from RefSeq and is a predicted model, not a curated record. The transcript has 3 exons.
CAACAAAACCCAACUACCAAUAUAAGAAAAAACAAACCAAUUUAAAAAGCAGAAUAAGCGAAAUGCUUUGUUACCAUCAUUCCAGAGGUAUGUGAUGCUAUAUGGAAAACUUUAAAAGAUAUUCAUAUGUCAGUUCCAACUAGAGAUCAUUGGGAGAAGAUUGCACAAAAAUAUUUUGACCUGGCUCAUUAGAUGGUAAGCACUUUAUAUCAAAAGUUAGAAAAACCAAUAUCAAACACCUUAAAAAACUAUGAAACCUUAUCCUAUGAAAAAUACCAGUCCAGAAGCAAAACAUUAUAAUUAAGAUUCCUAGGUAUAUGAGAAUUUAUUGUUAUUCCUAUCUAAAUAAAAUAAUAUAUAUAUA